UGGGCACCAGGUGUCUGCACGGUACAGAGAGGGACUGACGGUGCCUCUUGUCCCUUUCAGAGUCUGCCCCAGUUGUGCGGUGCAGGGGACGGCCAGGCAUUCACAAGCACCCUGCAGCAUCUCUACAUGGCCGUGGCCAGGCAGGAGGCGAGGGCAGCGCAGAAGCGGCACCACUCAGGGGAUGCCGAGACCCCAGAGCUCACCUCGUCUCCCCAGCUGGCUGGGGAGGCCAUGGACUCAUUGGUCACACUGGGUUCUCAGCAGGAAAAGGCUGAGCCACCCUCUGACCUGCCCCAGAGCCUGGGAGCCACAGCGACUCCCUCCUCUCCAGCCCAGAGAGCCCGACUGCCCGUGUCCAAGGCCAAGAGGAAGAAGGCAAAGGGGCUGUUCGGCUGACACACCGCUGCCCGUCCCCCUUGCCGUGGGAAGGGGUCUGGC
RNAcentral lists this long non-coding RNA (438 nucleotides) under Chrysemys picta bellii (western painted turtle). Its description in RNAcentral is "lncRNA (ENSCPBG00000013173.1)". The record is from RNAcentral. Lineage: Eukaryota; Metazoa; Chordata; Testudines; Emydidae.